CAAAAGCCAACAGAUGCAGACACUGGGAAGCUGAGGAGGAGCAAAGUGAUAUGGGGAAAUAAACAGGGCCACAGCUCAGCGGGAGGAGAGUGGAGCUGUUCAGCAGGUCUCAAGACGCCGGCAAAAUCACGGCUACUGUAGACAAAGGUCACCCCAAGGUUAUAAACCCGUAAGUCCACGUGCAACAAGAGCUGCAGGGUCAUGGAGGCCUGGGUGGAAACUGGCCGAAGACACGGCAGAUGAGCAGAGCAGACAAGGAGAGGAGAUGGAAUGGAGGCAGAUCUCAGAAAACGCUGGCAGCUACACUCCUGAAGAAACCUCCGGAAAAUUGCUAAGCCGAGAACAUUGUGUUUUAGCAUACAAAGACUAAAGGAAUAUUGUUCCCACAAGCCCUGCUUGAGGAAAUCACCAGGGAACAAAUGUAGUCAACCAAAAGAUGAUUGAGAAAACAACAGCAAAAGAGCUGACGGUUCUUGCCAUCUUGCCCAGACUGGCAUGCAGUGGCUAUUUAUAGGCAAGAUCAUAGCCUCAACCUAUUGGGCUCAAGUGAUCCUCCCACCUCAGCCUCCCAAAUAGCUGGGACUACAGGCUGACUGAAGAAUCUUUUUUUUUUCUUUUGAGACGGAGUCUCGCUCUGUCACCCAGGCUGGAGCGCACUGGCAUGAUCUUGGCUGACUGGAACCUCUACCUCUCAGGUUCAAGCAAUUCUCCUGCCUUAGCCUCCCGAGUAGCUGGGAUUACAGGCAUGUGCCACCACGCCCAGCUAAUUUUUGUAUUUUUUAGUAGAGAUGGGGUUUCACUAUGUUGGCCAGGCUGGUCUUGAACUCCUGGCCUCAAAUGAUCUACCCACCUCGGCCUCCAGAAGUGCUGGAAUUAUAGGCAUGAGUCACUGCACCCGGCCUAACUGAAGAAUCUUAAUAAAAAUGCUCUUCCAACUUCUCUGACAACCGGAUAUUAACAGACAAAACUGCCUUGGUGCCAAGAAACAGCAAUUAGUAAUAUAUUAGAGCCUCUUUUUUAUCUUUUGAUAUUCUAGGAUUAGAAAAUGUUAAUAAAGACAUAAGAUCUAUAAAUCUACAAAGAAGGUGCAGACUGUGCAUACAAGACUGUUGCUGUUCACAAGACUCACGGAACUAGAACUUCUUGAUUAAAGCUACCUUCACUCCUAACGCACUCUCAGCCAGAUCAAUCCCUCAGUUCUAUUGAAACUACUUCUUCAUUAUCUCAAUAUCCAUUUCCUUCAUCUCCACUGCCAACUGCCUAAUCGGAUCUGCCAACAAUUCUGUCUUGCCUGGACUACUGUAAAGCCUCCUAAUUGGUAUCCAUGACUCUAGUCUUUGCCUCUGCUAAACUCUUUUCCUCACUGCAGCCCAAAUGACCUUUCCAAAACACAAACCUGACUGAAACACUCCCCUCUUAAAAAACCUUUCAAUGGCUUAUCAUCACUGACAGGAUAAAGCCUAAAAGACCUAGCUUCAAAGAGCAAAAAGUUUAAUCACACAGUAGCCCCUUCUUAUUCACGGUUUCGCUUUCCGUGGUUUCAGUUAACUGUGGCCAAUCUUGGUCUGAAAAUAUUAAAUGAAAAAUUCCAGAAAUAAACAAUUGAUAAAUUUUAUAGGUCAUUUCAAAGAGGCUGCAAAACCAAGAGCUCUUAACGCUGUGAGCAAAGAUGGAAGUUCUCUCUAGGAUGCCAUGGCACUCGAUGGUGGUAUGUUUUCCUGGGGAGAUAUAAGACAUAGGUGUUAUAUGACAUAGUAAUCUAUGAUUGUUGCCAUGGGAGAGUUUUAAAGAUUAACCAAAGUAAAAAGAAAAAACAAAUUGUAAACUUUGCACUGUUCUGAGCAGCAUGAUAAAAUCUCAUGCCACCCCACCUGGGAUGUGAAACAGCCCUUCGUGCAGCAUAGCCACCAGGUAUACACUAGGUUGCCCGUUACCCAUUAAGUAGCUGUCUUGGUUACCAGAUCAACUGUCCUGGUAUCUCAGGGCUUGCGUGCAAGUAACCAUUAUUUUACUUAAUAAAUGGCCCCAAAGCACAAGAGUAGUGAUACUGGCAUAUUACUAUAGUUGUUCUAUUUUAUGAUUAUUGUUGUUAAUCUCUUACGGUGCCUAAUUUAUAAACUAAACUUCAUAAUAGGUGUGUAUGUAUAGGACAAAACACAAUAUAUAUAGGGUUUGGUACUAUCUGCAGUGUCAGGCAUCCGCUGGGGAUCUGGGAAAGUAUCUUCUGUGGAUAAGGGGGACUGCUGUACUCUCUUGGCCAGGGUUACAGGCAUCGCACAGCCUCUACAGACGGCAAUUUGGCAUUAUCUAUUAAAACUAAAAAUAUUUAUACUCUUUAACCCAAAAAUUCCAUUCCUAGGAAUUAAUCGUACAGGUAUACUUUCAUGUGCAGAUGGACUUAUAUACAAGGAUAUAUACUGCAGCACUGUUUAAAUUGCAAUAGACUAGAAAUCACCUAAAUUCCAACAAUACAGGAUUGAUCCAAUGAAUUA
This 2492-nucleotide long non-coding RNA is filed under the name Homo sapiens (human). RNAcentral's name for it is "HSALNT0223857". The stretch from base 1617 to 1734 matches the Rfam family "Small nucleolar RNA SNORA25". The record is from RNAcentral. Lineage: Eukaryota; Metazoa; Chordata; Mammalia; Primates; Hominidae.